GCCCCACUUAUAAAGAGCAAUCGAUGUUAGCUUUUCAAAAUGAGACCAAAGAAGCUUGUGCUUUUUUUAUAUUGUUCUAUGAAUAUAUACUCUAGAACUUAGAUUUCAAUAUGACAUUUGUGCAGCAUUAGUUUCGCUUUUUAUUUAUAAAAAGUCUUGCUUACAAAGAAUCAUAUAUGAGUUCUGAUGCGACCCAAAUCACCAGCUAUGUCUCAACGAAGAUCUUAAGGUACGAACCAGUUAAGCAACUAAUCAUAGCAUGGCUUAAUGGGCAUUUUAUAGGCCUUAUCGGUUUGAUCCAUGAAAUUCUAGAUCGAGAGAAGCUAGUGGGCCUGAUGCAAAAUGUGGAGGUCUUAUGCUCGAUAAGAAAUCAGUGUUUGGAUUUGUCCAAGAAAGGUACACCAAGAAAAUAAAAGCCCUGGUCGUAUAAUAUAUCAAUCUGACGGCAAUUCCAGGAUCUUCAACCGUGCAAAAGGACACAACCAGCCGAAGAGUUCUGCGACCAAAACUUUAAAUAUUCAGUCAACAGUUUUGGUCUUUGGUCAAGUCAAUAUUCCUAGUAAAGUUUUCAUGGUUUUAAGAGCUUUGUAGUUCUAGGAUUGACUAGAAUAUUUAUUUCUUCCACAAGCUAUUAUAUAAAGGCUUGCUAUUGUAUUGUUUUAAUCAUUCAACAUUUUUAAUCAAAAACCUUUCUUUAUAUUCUUGUUGAAUCCUUUGUUCUUAAUCGGACAUCGUAGCUUCUAAGUCAUCGGAGUGAGUCAUAUCUUCGGGCUUAGAAGUUCGGUAGUAUCAAGAGACUUUCCGCACCUCUUGUGUCUCCAUUCGAUCCAAGUUCCUUGAUCGUUUGUGCUUUCUAGCUCAUUCGGUGCAAGACUUAUCCAUUCUACCAACCUUAGAGUGAUCCUUCUAAUUAAGGGCGUAUCAUGUGGUAUCAGAGCCACUUUGAGGUUUAGAGUUCUUCACAACCAGCCAUUCGUAACUCUUCAUCUUCUAAGAGAUCAUCUGUGUCUUUUGGACUACUGAAGAUAAACCAUGAAGAGAAGCCAACCAUUAUUAUCUCUUCAUCUUCUAAUAGAUCACUUGUGUUUGGGCUACUGAUCAACCAUGAAGAGGAGGCAGCGCGCAAAACACAAGAAGAACAGUUGCGAGAAUGGAGGUACAACAAACGCACAGCCGAGAUGAUAGCAGAAUAUGAGCGUGACCAAGAGAAGGAAGCCACGAAGUCACGACCUGAGAGAGACAAAUGGAAGAAACCUGUCAACAAAGAGGCCACACGAUCUUACCUUGGUUAUAGAUCAAAUGGAGUUAAACCGAGCAGUCGUAGAAGGCAGUCCAAAAGCCACAAUCAAAACCGGUUGUACAAACUCCAUCGGCCAGAACUGAAGAAAAGAGGAAUGAUGAUUUUGGGAGAUGGCUGAAGAGUUUCAAGGCUAGGAUCCAUCAAAGUAUCACAAACCACAACAAGACGUUUACUUUCCUUUUAAAACCGUGUUAGAAAAAGAACAAAUGAUUUUUGGAAAUAAGAAACAGUUUGCUUCUAAUGAGUUUGAUUUUAUGCAGAAACAAAGAAACCAAAGGAAGAAACAAAACAGUUUCGAUGAUGAUGAGAAGUGGGUCAGAAGUGGUGAUCGUCCCUUCACCAAAGCCAAGAGAAGCAACCGUGAUGUGUUUGAUUAGAAUGAGCUUCAGACUUAUGUCAGCUUGGAGAAGAUGUUGCAUAAGGCAAUUCAUGCUAUCCGGCAACUCAAAAAGAAGGGAAGCACCAACAUUUCUCCUGCACCAUAACAACAAAGUAAUUUUUUUUCUCUUUCAAAUUCUGAUUUGAAAACUAAUAUGUUGUCUUCUGAUAAAAGCAAAACUGUGAAACCCACAAGCAAAGCUCAUUCUACCAGGUGCUUCAAAUGCAAUAGGAUCGGUCAUUAUGCUAACAAGUGUCAAAAGCAAAGACCGUUGGUGACUUUGGAGAAUGAGAACGUUGAAACAGAGCCAGAAAAGGAAUUCCCAUUGCCAAUUUUCGAUGACUUCACAUAUGAGCCAAUGGAGGGCUAGAUGAAGAAUAAAUUCGUGACCAUCAAGCCAACCAAGAAGAAUCAUCUUCCAUUCAAAAACGGACCAAACUCAAGAUUUGAGGACAAAUUUUUUUGAAUAGGAAGGGAAUGAUGUGCCCUGGUUCGUGGAUCAGUCCAUUGGAGCCAACCAGCAUGAAGAUCAAGACGUUCUGAAAAAUUUCACCGAGGUUCGUUCAUCCGACCGUACCGAUCAGACUGACCGAGCCGUCGCGCGUGCGUCCCGAUUGGAGCUUCGACUGGAACCACGACCAGAUGAUCGAACUGACCGUACCGGAGCUCGUCUUCCCCGACCAACUCGACAUUCUAAGACCCACGGCCGAGCCAUACUUAGCUUGGGUUGUGAAAAAAUCGAAGACGGACAUGCGUUCUCAUCCGGCAGACCAUCCAGACAGUCCCGCAAGCGUCCUUAUCUUUAUCCCGUGCAUCCAUCUGGUUCAGAUGAACCUGGACAUUGUCUGAAGGGUCAUCUUUGACCAAUCUGCAUGGAAGACUGAGUCUUUGACUCACUAAUUCAGAUAUGGUCAAAUUUGUAUUUUCUAUGCAUUAUUUUCCGUGUAUUUUCUUUAUUAGUCUUUGACUACAAACACUAUAAAUAUGUAGUCUCAUUCUAUGAAUAAAAGAAGUCUAAGUUUGAGUUUA
Brassica napus (rape) is the source of this 2708-nucleotide long non-coding RNA. RefSeq lists it as uncharacterized. NCBI's taxonomy places the organism in Eukaryota, Viridiplantae, Streptophyta, Magnoliopsida, Brassicales, Brassicaceae. The record is from RefSeq and is a predicted model, not a curated record. The transcript is spliced from 2 exons.